This 485-nucleotide ribosomal RNA is filed under the name uncultured bacterium. Its description in RNAcentral is "partial 16S ribosomal RNA". It matches the Rfam family "Bacterial small subunit ribosomal RNA", at positions 28 to 507 of the family's 1533-position model. The record is from RNAcentral.
GAUGAACGCUGGCGGCGUGCUUAACACAUGCAAGUCGAACGGGAUCCAAGGGGUGCUUGCACUUUUUGGUGAGAGUGGCGAACGGGUGAGUAACACGUGAGUAACCUGUCCUUUUCUUUGGGAUAAGCAUUCGAAAGGGUGUUUAAUACCUUAUGUUCUGUCUGCCUCGCAUGGGGUGGGUGGGAAAGGCUUUGGCCGGAUUUGGGUGGGCUCGCGGUCUAUCAGCUUGUUGGUGGGGUGAUGGCUUACCAAGGCUUUGACGGGUAGCCGGCCUGAGAGGGUGGUCGGUAACAUUGGGACUGAGAUACGGCCCAGACUCCUGCGGGAGGCAGCAGUGGGGGAUAUUGCACAAUGGGCGAAAGCCUGAUGCAGCGACGCCGCGUGGGGGAUGAAGGCCUUCGGGUUGUAAACUUCUUUUGCUCUGAACAAGGCAUGCCAGUGGGUGUGUUGAGUGUAGGGGUUGAUUAGCGCCGGCUAACUACGUG